This 282-nucleotide ribosomal RNA is filed under the name uncultured prokaryote. RNAcentral describes it as "partial 16S ribosomal RNA". It matches the Rfam family "Bacterial small subunit ribosomal RNA", at positions 524 to 803 of the family's 1533-position model. The record is from RNAcentral.
UACGAAGGGGGCUAGCGUUGUUCGGAAUUACUGGGCGUAAAGCGCACGUAGGCGGAUCUUUAAGUCAGGGGUGAAAUCCCGGGGCUCAACCCCGGAACAGCCUCUGGUACUGGGGAUCUCGAGUCCGAGAGAGGUGAGUGGAAUUCCGAGUGUAGAGGUGAAAUUCGUAGAUAUUCGGAGGAACACCAGUGGCGAAGGCGGCUCACUGGCUCGGUACUGACGCUGAGGUGCGAAAGCGUGGGGAGCAAACAGGAUUAGAUACCCGUGUAGUCCCUGAGCGGG